Molecule: ribosomal RNA, 550 nt
Filed under: uncultured bacterium
Lineage: Bacteria
Description: bacterial SSU rRNA
Rfam family: Bacterial small subunit ribosomal RNA
Source: RNAcentral
UAGGGAAUCUUCGGCAAUGGACGGAAGUCUGAUCGAGCAACGCCGCGUGAGUGAAGAAGGUUUUCGGAUCGUAAAGCUCUGUUGUAAGAGAAGAACGAGUGUGAGAGUGGAAAGUUCACACUGUGACGGUAUCUUACCAGAAAGGGACGGCUAACUACGUGCCAGCAGCCGCGGUAAUACGUAGGUCCCGAGCGUUGUCCGGAUUUAUUGGGCGUAAAGCGAGCGCAGGCGGUUAGAUAAGUCUGAAGUUAAAGGCUGUGGCUUAACCAUAGUAGGCUUUGGAAACUGUUUAACUUGAGUGCAAGAGGGGAGAGUGGAAUUCCAUGUGUAGCGGUGAAAUGCGUAGAUAUAUGGAGGAACACCGGUGGCGAAAGCGGCUCUCUGGCUUGUAACUGACGCUGAGGCUCGAAAGCGUGGGGAGCAAACAGGAUUAGAUACCCUGGUAGUCCACGCUGUAAACGAUGAGUGCUAGGUGUUAGACCCUUUCCGGGGUUUAGUGCCGUAGCUAACGCAUUAAGCACUCCGCCUGGGGAGUACGACCGCAAGGUUG